Molecule: ribosomal RNA, 252 nt
Filed under: uncultured bacterium
Lineage: Bacteria
Description: partial 16S ribosomal RNA
Rfam family: Bacterial small subunit ribosomal RNA
Source: RNAcentral
UACGUAGGGUGCAAGCGUUAAUCGGAAUUACUGGGCGUAAAGCGUGCGCAGGCGGUUUUGUAAGUCUGUCGUGAAAUCCCCGGGCUCAACCUGGGAAUUGCGAUGGAGACUGCAAGGCUAGAAUCUGGCAGAGGGGGGUAGAAUUCACGUGUAGCAGUGAAAUGCGUAGAGAUGUGGAGGAACACCGAUGGCGAAGGCAGCCCCCUGGGUCAAGAUUGACGCUCAUGCACGAAAGCGUGGGGAGCAAACAGG